GACGAACGCUGGCGGCGUGCUUAACACAUGCAAGUCGAACGAUGAACUCCAGCUUGCUGGGGGGAUUAGUGGCGAACGGGUGAGUAACACGUGAGUAACCUGCCCUUGACUCUGGGAUAAGCGCUGGAAACGGCGUCUAAUACCGGAUACGAGCUUCAGCCGCAUGGCUAGGAGUUGGAAAGAAUUUCGGUCAAGGAUGGACUCGCGGCCUAUCAGCUAGUUGGUGAGGUAAUGGCUCACCAAGGCGACGACGGGUAGCCGGCCUGAGAGGGUGACCGGCCACACUGGGACUGAGACACGGCCCAGACUCCUACGGGAGGCAGCAGUGGGGAAUAUUGCACAAUGGGCGAAAGCCUGAUGCAGCAACGCCGCGUGAGGGAUGACGGCCUUCGGGUUGUAAACCUCUUUUAGUAGGGAAGAAGCGAAAGUGACGGUACCUGCAGAAAAAGCACCGGCUAACUACGUGCCAGCAGCCGCGGUAAUACGUAGGGUGCAAGCGUUGUCCGGAAUUAUUGGGCGUAAAGAGCUCGUAGGCGGUUUGUCGCGUCUGCUGUGAAAUCUGGGGGCUCAACCCCCAGCCUGCAGUGGGUACGGGCAGACUAGAGUGCGGUAGGGGAGAUUGGAAUUCCUGGUGUAGCGGUGGAAUGCGCAGAUAUCAGGAGGAACACCGAUGGCGAAGGCAGAUCUCUGGGCCGUAACUGACGCUGAGGAGCGAAAGCGUGGGGAGCGAACAGGAUUAGAUACCCUGGUAGUCCACGCCGUAAACGUUGGGAACUAGAUGUGGGGACCAUUCCACGGUCUCCGUGUCGCAGCUAACGCAUUAAGUUCCCCGCCUGGGGAGUACGGCCGCAAGGCUAAAACUCAAAGGAAUUGACGGGGGCCCGCACAAGCGGCGGAGCAUGCGGAUUAAUUCGAUGCAACGCGAAGAACCUUACCAAGGCUUGACAUAUACCGGAAACGGCCAGAGAUGGUCGCCCCGCAAGGUCGGUAUACAGGUGGUGCAUGGUUGUCGUCAGCUCGUGUCGUGAGAUGUUGGGUUAAGUCCCGCAACGAGCGCAACCCUCGUUCUAUGUUGCCAGCACGUUAUGGUGGGAACUCAUAGGAGACUGCCGGGGUCAACUCGGAGGAAGGUGGGGAUGACGUCAAAUCAUCAUGCCCCUUAUGUCUUGGGCUUCACGCAUGCUACAAUGGCCGGUACAAAGGGCUGCGAUACCGUAAGGUGGAGCGAAUCCCAAAAAGCCGGUCUCAGUUCGGAUUGGGGUCUGCAACUCGACCCCAUGAAGUCGGAGUCGCUAGUAAUCGCAGAUCAGCAACGCUGCGGUGAAUACGUUCCCGGGCCU
This 1340-nucleotide ribosomal RNA is filed under the name uncultured bacterium. RNAcentral describes it as "bacterial SSU rRNA". It matches the Rfam family "Bacterial small subunit ribosomal RNA", at positions 28 to 1381 of the family's 1533-position model. The record is from RNAcentral.